GAUGAACGCUAGCGGCAGGCUUAAUACAUGCAAGUCGAACGGCAAGUUUGGUAGCAAUAUCGAACCUAGAGUGACGUACGGGUGCGUAACACGUAUGCAACCUACCCUUUACAGGAGGAUAGCUCGGGGAAACUCGAAUUAACCCUCCAUAAUAUCAUUGGAUGGCAUCAUUUGAUGAUUAAAACUCAGGUGGUAAAGGAUGGGCAUGCGUCUGAUUAGUUAGUUGGCGGGGUAAUGGCCCACCAAGACGAUGAUCAGUAGGGGACCUGAGAGGGUGAUCCCCCACACUGGCACUGAGAUACGGGCCAGACUCCUACGGGUGGCAG
RNAcentral lists this ribosomal RNA (326 nucleotides) under uncultured Bacteroidota bacterium. Its description in RNAcentral is "bacterial SSU rRNA". It matches the Rfam family "Bacterial small subunit ribosomal RNA", at positions 28 to 351 of the family's 1533-position model. The record is from RNAcentral. Lineage: Bacteria; Pseudomonadati; Bacteroidota.